Molecule: ribosomal RNA, 251 nt
Filed under: uncultured prokaryote
Description: partial 16S ribosomal RNA
Rfam family: Bacterial small subunit ribosomal RNA
Source: RNAcentral
UACGUAGGCAGCGAGCGUUGUUCGGAGUUACUGGGCGUAAAGAGUGCGUAGGCGGUGUUCCAAGUCUGGUGUGAAAGCUCCCGGCUCAACUGGGAGGGUGCGCCGGAAACUGGGAUGCUGGAGUAUGGGAGAGGUAAGCGGAAUUCCUGGUGUAGCGGUGAAAUGCGUAGAUAUCAGGAGGAACACCUGCGGUGUAGACGGCUUACUGGACCAUGACUGACGCUGAGGCACGAAAGCGUGGGGAGCAAACA